ACGUAGAGCAGUUGGCAGCGCUUAAGUCUUAUAAUCCUAAGGUUGUGAGUUCGAUCCUCACCCAGGGCA
Molecule: non-coding RNA, 69 nt
Organism: Dryococelus australis
Lineage: Eukaryota; Metazoa; Arthropoda; Insecta; Phasmatodea; Phasmatidae
Source: the annotation of a GenBank genome assembly